This 253-nucleotide ribosomal RNA is filed under the name uncultured bacterium. RNAcentral's name for it is "partial 16S ribosomal RNA". It matches the Rfam family "Bacterial small subunit ribosomal RNA", at positions 524 to 776 of the family's 1533-position model. The record is from RNAcentral.
UACGUAGGGGGCGAGCGUUGUCCGGAUUUAUUGGGCGUAAAGAGCGUGUAGGCGGCCAGGUAGGUCUGCUGUGAAAACUCGAGGCUCAACCUCGAGACGUCGGCGGAAACCAUCUGGCUAGAGUCCGGAAGAGGAGAGUGGAAUUCCUGGUGCAGCGGUGAAAUGCGCAGAUAUCAGGAAGAACACCCGUGGCGAAGGCGGCUCUCUGGGACGGUACUGACGCUGAGACGCGAAAGCGUGGGGAGCGAACAGG